UACGGAGGGUGCAAGCGUUGUUCGGAAUUACUGGGCGUAAAGCGCGCGUAGGCGGUCUGUUAUGUCAGGUGUGAAAGUCCAUGGCUCAACCAUGGAAGUGCAUUUGAAACUGACAGACUUGAGUACUGGAGGGGGUGGUGGAAUUCCCGGUGUAGAGGUGAAAUUCGUAGAUAUCGGGAGGAAUACCGGUGGCGAAGGCGACCACCUGGCCAGAUACUGACGCUGAGGUGCGAAAGCGUGGGGAGCAAACAGGAUUAGAUACCCCAGUA
Molecule: ribosomal RNA, 269 nt
Filed under: uncultured prokaryote
Description: partial 16S ribosomal RNA
Rfam family: Bacterial small subunit ribosomal RNA
Source: RNAcentral